UACAGAGGUCCCAAGCGUUGUUCGGAUUCAUUGGGCGUAAAGGGUGCGUAGGCGGCGCGGUAAGUCGGGUGUGAAAUCUUGGAGCUUAACUCCGAAACUGCAUUCGAUACUGCCGUGCUUGAGGACUGGAGAGGAGGCUGGAAUUUACGGUGUAGCGGUGAAAUGCGUAGAUAUCGUAAGGAAGACCAGUGGCGAAGGCGGGUCUCUGGACAGUUCCUGACGCUGAGGCACGAAGGCCAGGGGAGCAAACGGG
RNAcentral lists this ribosomal RNA (253 nucleotides) under uncultured bacterium. RNAcentral's name for it is "partial 16S ribosomal RNA". It matches the Rfam family "Bacterial small subunit ribosomal RNA", at positions 524 to 776 of the family's 1533-position model. The record is from RNAcentral.